GGAGUAAAUAAAAUGUUUCAGAUUUAGAAAUCAUUUUUCAAAAUCGUUUUUGAAUAAAACUGUUAACACAAUUUUCAGCCUUUUGUUCCACGUGCUUAAUUUAUUUCAAUAAUGAAUAAAUAAUAAUAAAAAUAUAAGUCUUGAUAAUUGCGUUUUUCAGCUUCCUACAUAUCCGUAUGAAUGGUACGUAUAUACAAAAUACGCCUAUUGUUGUAAAAUCAAUACACGAGUACCUACCUAAUAUUUCCUACUGAAUCAUCAAUUUAAUCAUUUUUCAAUUAUUAAAUAAUUAGAAGCUGUACUACAAAUCUACGAAUGUCUCAUGAGUUAUGUUAAAAAAUGUUGGGCCAUUUUGUGUUACGUUGACCGUCUAUAUUUGCUGUACAUAUACUAAAAUAUUGACUGCUAAGUGAUGAAAAAAUCAUAUUGUACAUAAAUGGGUAAACUUGACGGUUAUGCAUCUGCAGAAUACCAGAC
Long non-coding RNA from Aphis gossypii (cotton aphid), 477 nucleotides. RefSeq lists it as uncharacterized. The transcript is spliced from 3 exons. NCBI's taxonomy places the organism in Eukaryota, Metazoa, Arthropoda, Insecta, Hemiptera, Aphididae. The record is from RefSeq and is a predicted model, not a curated record.